AGCAGUAGCCGCGGUAAUACGGAGGGGGCUAGCGUUAUUCGGAAUUACUGGGCGUAAAGCGCACGUAGGCGGCUUCGCAAGUCAGAGGUGAAAGCCUGGGGCUCAACUCCAGAAUUGCCUUUGAGACUGCGUCGCUCGAAUCCGGGAGAGGUGAGUGGAAUUCCGAGUGUAGAGGUGAAAUUCGUAGAUAUUCGGAAGAACACCAGUGGCGAAGGCGGCUCACUGGACCGGCAUUGACGCUGAGGUGCGAAAGCGUGGGGAGCAAACAGGAUUAGAGACCCCCGUAGUCCCUGUCUCUUAUAC
This 303-nucleotide ribosomal RNA is filed under the name uncultured bacterium. RNAcentral's name for it is "partial 16S ribosomal RNA". It matches the Rfam family "Bacterial small subunit ribosomal RNA", at positions 507 to 807 of the family's 1533-position model. The record is from RNAcentral.